Molecule: ribosomal RNA, 1428 nt
Filed under: Triticum aestivum (bread wheat)
Lineage: Eukaryota; Viridiplantae; Streptophyta; Magnoliopsida; Poales; Poaceae
Description: partial small subunit ribosomal RNA
Source: RNAcentral
AUGGAUGAUGAUCAAGCACGUGAACUGAGAGCUCUAGAACGCAUACUGAGCGAUCCAAGUGUGGAGCCAACCAUGCUAUCUUAUGGGAUACUGAAAUACAUUACAAAUUCUUUUUCUAACGAGAUUGGUUGUGGUGGGUUUGGAGUUGUGUACCAGGGAGAGUUGGAAAACUGGGUAGUUGCUGUGAAGAUCUCCAAGACACAUAAUUCUACUGGUAGGCAAUUCCUAGAUGAGAUAAGGUGUUUAAAAAGUGCAAAUCACAAGAAUAUAGUAAGAUUUCUGGGCUAUUGUUCUGAUAUACAAGAGGAAGUUAAGACAUCCGAUGGAGUACUUGUGCUGGCAGGGCAUUAUAAGAGGUUGCUCUGUUUCGAGUAUGUUCCUAAAGGAAAUAUUCGACAGUAUCUUCAACAAGAGAAACCUCAUCAAGAGGACUGGCGAGCACGCUACAAAAUGAUUAGAGGAAUUUGUCAAGGGUUGCACUAUCUUCAUGACAAGCAAAUUAUCCAUCGUGACUUAAAACCUGAAAAUGUUAUGUUGGAUGCUCAGAUGGAACCAAAAAUUACUGAUUUUGGUUUGUCGAGAUUCUUAGACCAAGGAAUAUCCACAUUGGUUACUCAACACAUAGCUGGAACAUUGGGAUAUAUUGCACCGGAAAUAAUUGAUGAAGGAGAAGUAUCACUAAAGUCAGACAUAUAUGCUUUGGGUGUCAUUAUGGUAGAGCUACUAUCCGGCAUCAGCAUGAUAAAUCUGAUGAAUUGGGAUAAAUAUAUAGACACGAGCCUCCCACGAAUGAGGGGGUGCACCGAACUAGCUCGAAACUGCAUGGACCAUGACAAACAUAAGAGACCUACAAUAGGUGAAGUUAUUCGUGGCCUGGACAAUCUGGAGAGCAUGUUUCCAUGGUCUUCCAUAAGCCAGAGUCGUCCUAUGGGGCCGGAGAGCACCGUCGUCAAGCUACCAUCGAGGUCAUUAACUAUUGCAUGGGUUGAGAAUCCCGAGUACUGGAGAUGGAUCUCACGCCGGGACUCGAGCUCUGGCGAAUGCGCGAAACUCCUGAGGGUGUGCUAUCUGAAGGUCUCUCGGCUGAUUGCACCCGAGGACCUACCUGCUGCCGCCACAAGCUACACGGCUUACCUCGUGUACAAGCGGGCUGGCAGCACCCUGGAAGGCACCGUGCAAACAGCGAGCACGCUCCAUUUUGAUAAUAUCAUUGCCAGCAGCCAGGUUAGCCUACACCCCAAAGAUCAUGGCGCCAGUAGUGCCCAAGGUGUCACCCAUCCUGUCACCAGGGGCGAUGGGUGGCUGGAGCUUAGACUGGGGGAGUUCUCUAACGAGAAAGCGGUAACUGUACAGCUCCUCCAUGAGGACGCCAACAAAGAGAUGAGCGGCCUCAUCAUUGAUGGCAUGGAGGUCAGGAGGAGCCUGUAA